Molecule: long non-coding RNA, 1413 nt
Filed under: Salmo salar (Atlantic salmon)
Lineage: Eukaryota; Metazoa; Chordata; Actinopteri; Salmoniformes; Salmonidae
Description: lncRNA (ENSSSAG00000091062.1)
Source: RNAcentral
CCCCAUCCUUAUUCCCUAUCCUUAUCCCCUAACCCUAUCCCCUAGGCCUAGGGGUUGGUUUGAGAUUCAGAGAAUGAUAACUUCCUUAGCCGUCUGACCUCUAGGCUAGGAUAAAUCCGACCUGCUCAUUAAGACACACAUGUAAUGGUAAUACCACCAGGUCAUUACUAUUACCACUGUGGAGAAACAAGUCAUUCUGAUAACAAAGUUAAAAUUCUAACAAAAAAAUCGUGUCGCUUUUCCGACUACUACAGUAAAAUGUAUUUAUUAAUUUGAUUUACUGAAUAGAUUCAAGUAUGUUUUUUUUUUUUUGUUGUCAGCUACGUUUCUCCACGAUUUUGAGCAACAGCAAAAAACAGAAGAAAAAUCAAUGAAUACAUGAAGGUCAUUCUUGGUGGCAUAGUGGGUUUAACACGGUGUGUAUUUGGUCAUAAAAGGAUAAGAUGUCAAAGAGCUACAAUAUGAUUGCAUACAGUUAUCGAGUAUGAAGAUAGACCUCAGCCUUUCUGCUUGCAGCACUCAAAUUACAGAUUUUUUUUUGCAUUAAAAUAACAUGAAUUCCUUCAAUGGAAUAUUUCCACAAUAUGACAAUAAUAAUAAGAAGAAUAUUAUUAAAAUCAACAACAAUAUGGAUUGAGAGAAGGGGGGCUGGAGAGGUAGGUGUGUAAAUAAAGCCGUCGGUAAAAUGUGCAAUAAAACGUACUAUAGAUAUAAGGAACAGUUCAUAUCAUCUGCAAUAUACUGAGGUGGACACAACACAUACAGAUAUAUAUCUAUAUAUAUGUAGAAAGGAAUAUUGAUAAGCAUUAUAGAUCUCAGUUAUCUCCCAACACAUUCUAGAUCUCAGUUAUCUCCCAACACAUUAUAGAUCUCAGUUAUCUCCCAACACAUUAUAGAUCUCAGUUCUCUCCCAACACAUUCUAGAUCUCAGUUCUUUCCCAUCACAUUAUAGAUCUCAGUUAUCUCCCAACACAUUCUAGAUCUCAGUAUCUCAGUUAUCUCCCAACACAUUCUAGAUCUCAGUUAUCUCCCAACACAUUCUAGAUCUCAGUUCUCUCCCAACACAUUCUAGAUCUCAGUUCUCUCCCAACACAUUCUAGAUCUCAGUUCUCUCCCAACACAUUAUAGAUCUCAGUAUCUCAGUUCUCUCCUAACACAUUCUAGAUCUCAGUUCUCUCCCAACACAUUCUAGAUCUCAGUAUCUCAGUUCUCUCCCAACACAUUCUAGAUCUCAGUUCUCUCCCAACACAUUCUAGAUCUCAGUUCUCUCCCAACACAUUAUAGAUCUCAGUUAUCUCCCAACACAUUAUAGAUCUCAGUUAUCUCCCAACACAUUCUAGAUCUCAGUUCUCUCCCAACACAUUCUAGAUCUCAGUUCUUUCCCAACACAUUCUAGAUCUCAGUAUCUCAGUU